GACGAACGCUGGCGGCGUGCUUAACACAUGCAAGUCGAACGGAAAGGCCCUGCUUUUGUGGGGUGCUCGAGUGGCGAACGGGUGAGUAACACGUGAGUAACCUGCCCUUGACUUUGGGAUAACUUCAGGAAACUGGGGCUAAUACCGGAUAGGAGCUCCUGCUGCAUGGUGGGGGUUGGAAAGUUUCGGCGGUUGGGGAUGGACUCGCGGCUUAUCAGCUUGUUGGUGGGGUAGUGGCUUACCAAGGCUUUAACGGGUAGCCGGCCUGAGAGGGUGACCGGCCACAUUGGGACUGAGAUACGGCCCAGACUCCUACGGGAGGCAGCAGUGGGGAUUAUUGCACAAUGGGCGGAAGCCUGAUGCAGCAACGCCGCGUGCGGGAUGACGGCCUUCGGGUUGUAAACCGCUUUCGCCUGCGACGAAGCGUGAGUGACGGUAAUGGGUAAAGAAGCACCGGCUAACUACGUG
RNAcentral lists this ribosomal RNA (468 nucleotides) under uncultured bacterium. RNAcentral describes it as "partial 16S ribosomal RNA". It matches the Rfam family "Bacterial small subunit ribosomal RNA", at positions 28 to 507 of the family's 1533-position model. The record is from RNAcentral.